Molecule: ribosomal RNA, 372 nt
Filed under: uncultured cyanobacterium
Lineage: Bacteria; Bacillati; Cyanobacteriota
Description: SSU rRNA
Rfam family: Bacterial small subunit ribosomal RNA
Source: RNAcentral
GCCUGACGGAGCAACGCCGCGUGAGGGACGAAGGCCUCUGGGCUGUAAACCUCUUUUCUCAAGGAAGAAGAUAUGACGGUACUUGAGGAAUAAGCCACGGCUAAUUCCGUGCCAGCAGCCGCGGUAAUACGGGAGUGGCAAGCGUUAUCCGGAAUUAUUGGGCGUAAAGCGUCCGCAGGCGGCUUUUCAAGUCUGCUGUUAAAACGUGGAGCUUAACUCCAUCAUGGCAGUGGAAACUGAAAGGCUUGAGUAUGGUAGGGGCAGAGGGAAUUCCCGGUGUAGCGGUGAAAUGCGUAGAUAUCGGGAAGAACACCAGUGGCAAAGGCGCUCUGCUGGGCCAUUACUGACGCUCAUGGACGAAAGCCAGGGGAG